AGCCCUCUCUCUCUCUCUCUCUCUCUCUCUCUCUAAACUAUCCUCUCUCUAUUUCGGCGACUGUCUCCUCCGGCGAAUGUCAUCGCCGUCCGUCUUCUCCCACACUGCCGAACAGCAGCUUCGCGUCUUCUUCGCCCAUUCCCCUUCGCUCAUAAAUUCCGCUCUCAAACUCUUUUCCCUGAAUUUCAUUGAAAUCAGAAAAUACAACCCCUAAAUCCUCUCCAUCCUCCAGCGAGCAGCGUGUCCUCACCAUCUUUCUACCAUGCACAUGUGUGAGGAAACUCAAGGGCUACACUGUUCUUUAUAAGUGAGAUUCUAGACCUCCUUGUGUGCGAAAUUGGAACUGGAAAGAAGUGGUUUUUAUUUUGAAUGAAGUGGAUGGGUGCAAUUUUGCAAGACAAAGAUGCGGAGGAAUGGACUUACAGAGGAGAAGGAGCUCUGAAUCUAGUUCUUGCUUAUUGUGGAAGCUCUCCUCAUUUUGUUGGAAAAGUUUUAAGGAUACAAAAAGUUCGAAAUGAUAGACCUGAAUGUGAGAAUGGUCAUUCAGCUCUAGUCAACCAUGAAUCCCUCUUGUGGGGAAAAUUUGAAGGCAUAGUUUCAGCACCUACAAGGGAAGUUGCAGAGCACAUAUAUGUACAGAAAGUAAUGUGUCCACUCUUGGGAUCAGAGCAUGUUGACGCAGGGAUCCAUGUUCUUGUGUCAAGAGAAUUUUUGGAGGCAGUUGACAAUAAGGUUCUUUGUCAGCGUCCAUCAUGGCGUGUUGAUGCUGCCAGAAUCAAUCCCCUUCAUGACUCGGUUCUUCUAAUUUCUGAUCAUUCAGUGUUUCCUCAUUUUUCAGAUUCUCUCAGAGAGGAUUUCUGUGUGUCUGUUGAGAUAAAGCCCAAAGGCGGAUUUCUUCCCACUUCAGAAUUUAUAGCUGAGGGAAAUGCAGUCAAAAAGAGAAUUACUCAAUUUAAGAUGCAUCAAGCUCUAAAAUUGCAUCGAGGAAAGAUAUCUCAAAUAAGUCAAUAUCAUCCUCUAGAUUUGUUUUCUGGAUCCAAGGAUGGAAUACAAAAAGCAAUUGAAGCCCUCUUUCUAACACCGCAGAAUAAUUUUCGGGUUUUCUUAAAUGGUUCGAUUAUUUUUGGAGGCAUGGGUGGUACUGCAGACAGCACUAGUUCUACGGCUGCUCAAUCUUUCCAUGACGGACUUAAACAUGUCAUUUCAGCAAAAGAUGGGAUGCACAUCAAGGGUUUUGUAGAUCUGCUCACUGAAACUAUUUUUAAGUCUGGCUUAUUAAAUCGGCUUCUUGAAGUACAGAAGCUUGAUGCUAUUGAUAUAGAAGGUGCAAUUCAUUCCUACUAUGAUAUUAUUUCUCAGCCUUGUGUGGUAUGUCGGCAAAUAGGUGGGGAAAAAUUCGCAGCAAGGUAUUCAUCAAUUCAUUCAAUGCUAAGGGAUGAUAAAGUGAGAAUUGUGAGGGAUUACUUGAUAUCAGCCACUGCAAAGGACUUAAGUAUGAUGAUUAGUUUCAAGUCCAAAAUAAAUAUGGAUGAGGAAUCUCUACAUCGUGCUGUCUUUCUGGAAUCAAGCAAGCAAACCUUUUAUUACAAGGCAUCUUUCAUUGACCUGGACAUGAAACCAUUGAAGAAAAUGGAAUAUUACUACGAGUUGGAUCAACAAAUUGUCAACUACUAUGUCCAAAUGUUAAAAGAUACAGAUGUGCUUGAUUGUGGUGAGACAACCCAAGAGUCACUGAAUACAAGUACCGGUAUUAAUAAUGGUGCACCCCAUCAAUAAAUAAGGUGAAUUCUGCCCCAUAUUUGCUCCUUGACUAGAGCUCCAAAUUUAUGUUAGUGAAAAGAAGUCUCCAACUGAAUCAGUUUCAACAUUUUUAAAAAGCAUCAUUUCCAUUUCCAAAUCUCAGUGCCUCAACAUUGCAAAUGCCACUCUUUUGAGAGGUGACUCAGCAUCACAAAACAUAAGAGUAAGAAAUGGCAAAUUGAUCGAGGAGCUCAGAAGAGAGAUAUAGAUCAGCUUUCUUUUCUACGAAGAAAGGGUGUCAACUACUACUUCAGUAUCUUCCAGUCAACAUCAGCCAUGGAUUUAUGCAGCUCGAUUUGGACCAAGAAGUUAAUUAUAUGGCUCGCUGGAAGAUGACCACUCCUCGUGCGCUCUCUAGGCUACAAGUUAACCCCAACCAGUUUCUUCUAACUGAAUCUGGAAUGUAAUUCGACAUUUAACUCGUAGACUUCAUGAAAGUUUAGUAUUCUCAUCAACAUUAAGUGUA
Molecule: RNA transcript, 2266 nt
Organism: Salvia splendens (bonfire salvia)
Lineage: Eukaryota; Viridiplantae; Streptophyta; Magnoliopsida; Lamiales; Lamiaceae
Gene name: inositol-pentakisphosphate 2-kinase
Exons: 10
Source: RefSeq, a predicted model, not a curated record